Molecule: long non-coding RNA, 1521 nt
Filed under: Zonotrichia albicollis (white-throated sparrow)
Lineage: Eukaryota; Metazoa; Chordata; Aves; Passeriformes; Passerellidae
Description: lncRNA (ENSZALG00000013649.1)
Source: RNAcentral
UUAAUAUUUAACAUCAGCUGAAACUUUGGGGAUGCCAAAACAUCUUGUAAUACUUAAGUGCCUAUCACUUUACAGUGGAGUAAUUCUGUUUAUUUAGAUUCCUCCUUUUUAAGCAAGACUGCCUUUCUGUAAAAUAUUGAUUUUAGUUUUUAAAUAGACAUGACAAACAGCUUGGGUUUAUGAAAACCAAAACCUCCCCUAAAUAUCUGGGGACUUUUCCCCUCCAAUUUGAUGCUAAUAAAUAAGCAGAAGGGGGAGAGUGGCUCAAAGAAGCCUUGGGACCAGCAUUAAAAUAACAUUUAGGUGACAACAGAAAUGCUAAAUAUUCUCCAUGGUGUAUAUCUAAACAGGAUGGGUGUCUCACCUCCCCUCACAUAAUUAAAAUGCUGAACAGCAGCACAGGAAGAGUUACUUAAGCCUUUGGUUCUAAAAUAGCAAUGCUCAGAGCAAAGCCAGGCAUUUGUAGGGCUUUGGAACCGAGGUCUGUAACCCACGGGAAGCAGCUGCUGAUUUAUUCCAUCAAUCUCACAUUUGAAAGCUAUCAGUUCUCUGGAUGCCUCAGCCAUCCACGACUUGUCCUGCAGCCAAGAGGGUCCAGGUCAGUGCUGGGGAGCAGGACUGUGCUGCCACAGGGAUCUCCACACUGCAGCCCUUGCCCUGCAGCCAAAGCAGGUGAGGGCAGUGCCCUCUGAAGCAGGAGGACACCUCCAUGUGUGCCACUGUCCUUGGAUGAGGGAGGAUGGCAGGAGAAGAGGGCCAAGGCAUCCCUGGAGAAGUCCUGCAAGCUCCCAGCUUGCCAUUUGUGCCAUCCUGGCAUUUCCCUGCUAUCUCCUGGUGCUGAAGGACAGCUCAAACGCCUCGUUAAUCACCGCUGAUGACGGAGCUGUGGCACUCAGGUCCUGCUGGCUGCUGCUUCCCCAGCCAGGGAUGUUUUGCCGAUGCUGCUCCCUGAAAACUCCAGCUGAAAACUGGGGGAAAACUGCCCCCCUCGGAGCUGUAGUUUGUGGAAGAUGUUCCUACUCUGUUCCAGUCUCUCAUUCCUGCUCAUAGGGCACACAGUGAGUUGUGCCCUUGCAAACCUGCAUCUUUUUACAGUACAUUUUUCCCUUCUCUGUGCUUGUCAAGAUCGAGGGCAGCUCCGUGGUGGGCUGAUCUGCUGCUGCAUUGAUCUGGCAAAGGCUGGGGGUGAAAGCCCCACAGCCUCCAGACGAGGCCAUAGAGCUUUCAGGAUGCAGUUUUUCCGAAUCUGUCCAUCACACAGCAAACAAACACCCCCAGCCUGGAGGCAGCUGGCUCGGGGGUGAGCAUCGAUCGCUGGCUGCUGGGUGAGACCCACCAGAACCCCACCGGUGUCAGGAGGCAGCUCCAGCCCUCCCAGCUCCCAAUCACAGGGCUGGGAAGGAAAGCCAGCCUUCUCAGGAAUCAAUCAUUUGACAUCUGCUGUCAGCCUUCUGACACCCAGCCCCGCCGGUGAGGACCCCAGCAGGAAGCCUGGUGGAUCUCAGCUUGUUUUGGUCUUAA